Mastomys coucha (southern multimammate mouse) is the source of this 111-nucleotide non-coding RNA. RefSeq annotates it as small Cajal body-specific RNA 21. The transcript has a single exon. The record is from RefSeq and is a predicted model, not a curated record. NCBI's taxonomy places the organism in Eukaryota, Metazoa, Chordata, Mammalia, Rodentia, Muridae.
AGAUUUUUCCUUCCCCUCAGCAGAGCCUAGAAUAAAGGGGCCAGGCCUCCUCCCUAUGGGAGAGGUGUGAAGAAGGAGGAACCUCACCCAGACUGGCCUGGCUUCACAUUU